This is an unclassified non-coding RNA of Prolemur simus (greater bamboo lemur), 102 nucleotides long. It matches the Rfam family "Y RNA". Rfam says of the family: Y RNAs are components of the Ro ribonucleoprotein particle (Ro RNP), in association with Ro60 and La proteins. The Y RNAs and Ro60 and La proteins are well conserved, but the function of the Ro RNP is not known. Lineage: Eukaryota; Metazoa; Chordata; Mammalia; Primates; Lemuridae. The record is from Ensembl.
GGCUGGUCUGAGUGCAGUGGUGUUUACAGCUAAUUGAUCACCACCAGUUAUAGAUCCCUUUGUUCCUUCUCCACUCCCACUGCUUCACUUGACUAGCCUUUA